This is a long non-coding RNA of Brassica oleracea var. oleracea, 543 nucleotides long. RefSeq lists it as uncharacterized. The transcript has 2 exons. Lineage: Eukaryota; Viridiplantae; Streptophyta; Magnoliopsida; Brassicales; Brassicaceae. The record is from RefSeq and is a predicted model, not a curated record.
UUGAGUUCUAGUUCUAAAAUGAACAAAUUUUGGAUUCACCUUCUAUGAUGAACUCUCAAAUUCAUCUCUAUUAUUAACACCAAUCAAAAUUGCCAUGUAGGAUUAGAAGAAAAAAAAAUAUUAAAACUAAAAAAAAAAAGGAAAAUAGCUUUAAAAAAAAUAAAAGACUUCGCUUGUUAACGCCGUCGAUGGCUUCUUCUUUUUCAUCGCCCACAAAGAAGAUGGAAGCUGCGUUUGUCUUGAGUCUCCAAUUCUAUGCUUUCAAAUCGAAUUUCAAUUUCUUCUCCAAGCCAAAUCAAGCCAUGUGUGUUCGUUUUGCGUUUAGGGCCCGAGGAAGAAGAUACUUCUUGCGUUGUGGAUAGAUUUGUUUGUUGCUUAUGCAAUUCUCUCUAUCAUUGUCCUUUUCUUUCUCAAUUGUAUUUCAAGAGACAAAAGUAGGCAAGAGUUUUGAUAUUAAGACAGUUGUUGUAAUACAAAGAAAAGCAUUAAUAUUGAAUGAUUGAAAAGGAAUCUUGGAAUGUAAAAAAAAAGUUGUUUUGAGCU